RNAcentral lists this ribosomal RNA (422 nucleotides) under Laparocerus decipiens. RNAcentral's name for it is "partial 16S ribosomal RNA". Lineage: Eukaryota; Metazoa; Arthropoda; Insecta; Coleoptera; Curculionidae. The record is from RNAcentral.
GGUAUUUUGACCGUGCAAAGGUAGCAUAAUCAUUAGUUUUUUAAUUGAAAGCUGGAAUGAAAGGUUGGAUGAAAAAUAAGCUGUCUCUAUUUAAUUUUAUUAUAAUUUUAUUUUUAAGUUAAAAAGCUUAAAUUUUGAUAGAAGACGAGAAGACCCUAUAGAGUUUUAUUUAUGUUUUUAAUAAGAUUAUUAGUAUUAAUUAUUUUUAUUGAGGGAAUAAAUUUAGUUGGGGUGAUUGAAAAAUUUAAUAAACUUUUUUUAUACAUAUACAUUUAUAUAUGAUUAAUUGAUCCUUAAUUUAAGAUUAAAAGAUAAAAUUACCUUAGGGAUAACAGCGUAAUUUUUUUUAAGAGUUCAAAUCGAAAAAAAAGAUUGCGACCUCGAUGUUGGAUUAAAAUAAAAUUUUGGUGUAGAAGCUAAAA